RNAcentral lists this ribosomal RNA (773 nucleotides) under uncultured bacterium. Its description in RNAcentral is "bacterial SSU rRNA". It matches the Rfam family "Bacterial small subunit ribosomal RNA", at positions 8 to 798 of the family's 1533-position model. The record is from RNAcentral.
AGAGUUUGAUCAUGGCUCAGGACGAUCGCUGGCGGCGUGCUUAACACAUGCAAGUCGAACGGAAAGGCCCUUCGGGGUACUCGAGUGGCGAACGGGUGAGUAACACGUGGGUGAUCUGCCCUGCACUCUGGGAUAAGCCUGGGAAACUGGGUCUAAUACCGGAUAGGACCGCAUGCUUCAUGGUGUGUGGUGCAAAGCUUUUGCGGUGUGGGAUGAGCCCGCGGCCUAUCAGCUUGUUGGUGGGGUAAUGGCCUACCAAGGCGACGACGGGUAGCCGGCCUGAGAGGGUGACCGGCCACACUGGGACUGAGAUACGGCCCAGACUCCUACGGGAGGCAGCAGUGGGGAAUAUUGCACAAUGGGCGCAAGCCUGAUGCAGCGACGCCGCGUGAGGGAUGACGGCCUUCGGGUUGUAAACCUCUUUCAGUAGGGACGAAGCGAAAGUGACGGUACCUACAGAAGAAGGACCGGCCAACUACGUGCCAGCAGCCGCGGUAAUACGUAGGGUCCGAGCGUUGUCCGGAAUUACUGGGCGUAAAGAGCUCGUAGGUGGUUUGUCGCGUUGUUCGUGAAAACUCACAGCUUAACUGUGGGCGUGCGGGCGAUACGGGCAGACUAGAGUACUGCAGGGGAGACUGGAAUUCCUGGUGUAGCGGUGGAAUGCGCAGAUAUCAGGAGGAACACCGGUGGCGAAGGCGGGUCUCUGGGCAGUAACUGACGCUGAGGAGCGAAAGCGUGGGUAGCGAACAGGAUUAGAUACCCCGGUAGUCCAA